This is a long non-coding RNA of Lemur catta (Ring-tailed lemur), 902 nucleotides long. RefSeq lists it as uncharacterized. The transcript is spliced from 3 exons. Lineage: Eukaryota; Metazoa; Chordata; Mammalia; Primates; Lemuridae. The record is from RefSeq and is a predicted model, not a curated record.
CCAAAAUUAAGGCAGCUGUAUGCUGUAAAAGCAUUAGUUCUUUGUCAAAAGAUACGUUCUUCCAUCUUCAUCUAUUGUUGCCAGCUGUCAGCAUUUUCUUAAAAGCUCAGGUUUUCUUCUUAGCCACACCUGUAUGUGGCUUGUUGGUUGUCCAGGUGUGGUUUGCAGCUUAAAUGUCUAACCCUGUCAACCAAGAGUUCCACUGUUGUUUCACAAGGCUGACCGUGCUGAGCUAGUCCUAGUAUUUCCUGCACAUCUCGGCAGAUCUUGAAGAGGCGACACUGAAACUUCUCGUCCCAGUCAUUCUUGCUUUUGUCACCGGUCACCAGUCUCGUAGCACCCAUCACGUUGGUCACAGCACUCUGUGAGGGAAGGGAUGCCGAUGUUAAGGUGACGCCACGCAGUGGAGAGCCCCAUCCAUUCAGCAGGAGGGUUUAUAAUGUGGGAAAGGGACUUAUGCCAGCAGAGCCGUCCUCGCCCCCUCGAAUACAAGGUGGCAGUCAGAAUAACACAAGACUGGAAAAAUUUAAAAGAACAGAAAUUUAUUUGGCUAACAUUUCUGGCAGCUGGGAAGUCCAAGAGCAUGGCACCUGCAUCUGGCAAGCGUCAUUCCGUGACAGAAGGCAUCACAUGAUCCUAAAUUCCGGUGGAAUGGUUUAUGCCAACUAGUUUGAAGACCUCUGCAGAGGAACCAAAUCAGCCUGGAGAAUGCAGUUUCUUCAUCUCCUGAUGCCAUGACUUCACCCUACACUCUUCAACCAAUUAAUGAUGCCCUCACCUCGACCCACUACUUGUUCAAACCCUUUAAAAUUGCUAGUCGCCAACUCCUCAGUGAAGUGGGUUGGUGACGUCCUCCCGUCUCAUUUGUCCGUCUUACAAUUAAACCUCUUUCUCUGCUGUAA